ACAGCUGGGGCGGGGUGGGAUGAAC
RNAcentral lists this non-coding RNA (25 nucleotides) under Cricetulus griseus (Chinese hamster). The record is from RNAcentral. Lineage: Eukaryota; Metazoa; Chordata; Mammalia; Rodentia; Cricetidae.